UUAUGCUAACCAAUUUGCACCAAAGUAUCCGCAGUCAAGCGUGCUUGGGUGAGAGUAGUACUAGGAAGGGUGACCUCCUGGGAAGUACUCGUGUUGCACCUC
RNAcentral lists this ribosomal RNA (102 nucleotides) under Lupinus angustifolius (narrow-leaved blue lupine). Lineage: Eukaryota; Viridiplantae; Streptophyta; Magnoliopsida; Fabales; Fabaceae. The record is from RNAcentral.